RNAcentral lists this ribosomal RNA (439 nucleotides) under uncultured bacterium. Its description in RNAcentral is "partial 16S ribosomal RNA". It matches the Rfam family "Bacterial small subunit ribosomal RNA", at positions 338 to 795 of the family's 1533-position model. The record is from RNAcentral.
CCUACGGGAGGCAGCAGUGGGGAAUAUUGCACAAUGGGCGAAAGCCUGAUGCAGCAACGCCGCGUGAGCGAUGAAGGCCUUCGGGUCGUAAAGCCCUGUCCUCAAGGAAGAUAAUGACGGUACGUGAGGCCGAAGCCCCGGCUAACUACGUGCCAGCAGCCGCGGUAAUACGGAGGGGGCUAGCGUUAUCCGGAAUUACUGGGCGUAAAGGGUGCGUAGGUGGGUUCUUAAGUCAGAGGUGAAAGGCUAGGGCUCAACCGUAGUAAGCCUUUGAAACUGGGAAACUUGAGUGCGGGAGAGGAGAGUGGAAUUCCUGGUGUAGCGGUGAAAUGCGUAGAUAUUAGGAGGAACACCAGUUGCGAAGGCGGCUCUCUGGACUGUAACUGACACUGAGGCACGAAAGCGUGGGGAGCAAACAGGAUUAGAUACCCCAGUAGUC